RNAcentral lists this ribosomal RNA (275 nucleotides) under uncultured bacterium. RNAcentral describes it as "partial 16S ribosomal RNA". It matches the Rfam family "Archaeal small subunit ribosomal RNA", at positions 473 to 747 of the family's 1478-position model. The record is from RNAcentral.
AUACCGGCGGCCCGAGUGGUGGCCGCUAUUAUAGGGCCUAAAGCGUCCGUAGCCGGGCCCGUAAGUCCCUGGCGAAAUCCCACGGCUCAACCGUGGGGCUUGCUGGGGAUACUGCGGGCCUUGGGACCGGGAGAGGCGGGGGGUACCCCUGGGGUAGGGGUGAAAUCCUAUAAUCCCAGGGGGACCGCCAGUGGCGAAGGCGCCCCGCUGGAACGGGUCCGACGGUGAGGGACGAAGGCCAGGGGAGCGAACCGGAUUAGAAACCCUAGUAGUCC